CGUCUCAGUUCGGAUUGUAGUCUGCAACUCGACUACAUGAAGCUGGAAUCGCUAGUAAUCGCGGAUCAGAAUGCCGCGGUGAAUACGUUCCCGGGUCUUGUACACACCGCCCGUCACACCAUGGGAGUCGGAAAUGCCCGAAGUCUGUGACCGAACCGAAAGGAAGGAGCAGCCGAAGGCAGGUCGGAUGACUGGGGUGAAGUCGUAACAAGGUAGC
This 217-nucleotide ribosomal RNA is filed under the name uncultured bacterium. Its description in RNAcentral is "partial 16S ribosomal RNA". It matches the Rfam family "Bacterial small subunit ribosomal RNA", at positions 1284 to 1500 of the family's 1533-position model. The record is from RNAcentral.